This 378-nucleotide unclassified non-coding RNA is filed under the name plant metagenome. Its description in RNAcentral is "partial contains 5.8S ribosomal RNA, internal transcribed spacer 2, and large subunit ribosomal RNA". The stretch from base 1 to 105 matches the Rfam family "5.8S ribosomal RNA", at positions 50 to 154 of the family's 154-position model. The record is from RNAcentral.
GAAAUGCGAUAAGUAAUGUGAAUUGCAGAAUUCAGUGAAUCAUCGAAUCUUUGAACGCACCUUGCGCUCCUUGGUAUUCCUUGGAGCAUGCCUGUUUGAGUAUCAUGAAAUCUUCAAAGUAAAUCUUUUGUUAACUCAAUUGGUUUCUACUUUGGUAUUGGAGGUCUUUGCAGCUUCACACCUGCUCCUCUUUGUUCAUUAGCUGGAUCUCAGUGUUAUGCUUGGUUCCACUCGGCGUGAUAAGUGAUCUAUCGCUGAGGACACUGUAAAAGGUGGCCAAGGUAAAUGCAGAUGAACCGCUUCUAAUAGUCCAUUGACUUGGACAAUACUUUUAUGAUCUGAUCUCAAAUCAGGUAGGACUACCCGCUGAACUUAAGC